AAGUCGUAACAAGGUUUCCGUAGGUGAACCUGCGGAAGGAUCAUUACAAAAAAGGCCCAAAUAGCAUGCUUGUGCACAUCAACUGCUAUUUGAACCUUUAUUCUACCUUGAUUUUUUGCGUACUCCUGUUUCCUUGGUGGGCUUGCCUGCCAGCUGGACAAAUCUAUAACCCUUUUAAUGUUUAAUCAGCGUCUGAGUAAAUUUAAUAAUUACAACUUUCAACAACGGAUCUCUUGGUUCUG
RNAcentral lists this unclassified non-coding RNA (242 nucleotides) under Phaeosphaeria spartinicola. RNAcentral describes it as "partial internal transcribed spacer region". The stretch from base 1 to 46 matches the Rfam family "Eukaryotic small subunit ribosomal RNA", at positions 1786 to 1831 of the family's 1831-position model. Lineage: Eukaryota; Fungi; Ascomycota; Dothideomycetes; Pleosporales; Phaeosphaeriaceae. The record is from RNAcentral.